Molecule: ribosomal RNA, 253 nt
Filed under: uncultured bacterium
Lineage: Bacteria
Description: partial 16S ribosomal RNA
Rfam family: Bacterial small subunit ribosomal RNA
Source: RNAcentral
UACGUAGGGUGCGAGCGUUAAUCGGAAUUACUGGGCGUAAAGCGUGCGCAGGCGGUUUUGUAAGCCAGAUGUGAAAGCCCCGGGCUCAACCUGGGAAUGGCAUUUGGGACUGCAAGGCUCGAGUGCGGCAGAGGAGACUGGAAUUCCUGGUGUAGCAGUGAAAUGCGUAGAUAUCAGGAGGAAUACCGAUGGCGAAGGCAGGUCUCUGGGCUGACACUGACGCUCAUGCACGAAAGCGUGGGGAGCAAACAGG